RNAcentral lists this ribosomal RNA (235 nucleotides) under uncultured bacterium. RNAcentral's name for it is "partial 16S ribosomal RNA". It matches the Rfam family "Bacterial small subunit ribosomal RNA", at positions 96 to 334 of the family's 1533-position model. The record is from RNAcentral.
UGGCGGACGGGUGAGUAAUGUCUGGGAAACUGCCCGAUGGAGGGGGAUAACUACUGGAAACGGUAGCUAAUACCGCAUAACGUCGCAAGACCAAAGAGGGGGACCUUAGGGCCUCUUGCCAUCGGAUGUGCCCAGAUGGGAUUAGCUAGUAGGUGGGGUAACGGCUCACCUAGGCGACGAUCCCUAGUUGGUCUGAGAGGAUGACCAGCCACACUGGAACUGAGACACGGUCCAG